UGGCUCAGACAGUAAAGCGUCUGCCUGCAAUGCAGAAGACCCGGGUUUGAUUCCUGG
Molecule: transfer RNA, 57 nt
Filed under: Ovis aries (sheep)
Lineage: Eukaryota; Metazoa; Chordata; Mammalia; Artiodactyla; Bovidae
Rfam family: tRNA
About the family: Transfer RNA (tRNA) molecules are approximately 80 nucleotides in length. Their secondary structure includes four short double-helical elements and three loops (D, anti-codon, and T loops).
Source: Rfam by way of RNAcentral